GUAAGGAAUAUUGGACAAUGGACGCAAGUCUGAUCCAGCCAUGCCGCGUGAAGGAUUAAGGUCCUCUGGAUUGUAAACUUCUUUUAUAAGGGACGAAAAAAGGCUUUUCUAAGUCGUCUGACGGUACCUUAUGAAUAAGCACCGGCUAACUCCGUGCCAGCAGCCGCGGUAAUACGGAGGGUGCAAGCGUUAUCCGGAUUCACUGGGUUUAAAGGGUGCGUAGUCGGGCAGGUAAGUCAGUGGUGAAAUCCUAGAGCUUAACUCUAGAACUGCCAUUGAUACUAUCUGUCUUGAAUAUUGUGGAGGUAAGCGGAAUAUGUCAUGUAGCGGUGAAAUGCUUAGAUAUGACAUAGAACACCUAUUGCGAAGGCAGCUUACUACGCAUAUAUUGACGCUGAGGCACGAAAGCGUGGGGAUCAAACAGGAUUAGAUACCCUGGUAGUCC
RNAcentral lists this ribosomal RNA (445 nucleotides) under uncultured bacterium. RNAcentral describes it as "partial 16S ribosomal RNA". It matches the Rfam family "Bacterial small subunit ribosomal RNA", at positions 354 to 796 of the family's 1533-position model. The record is from RNAcentral.